RNAcentral lists this transfer RNA (74 nucleotides) under Candidatus Moraniibacteriota bacterium. Its description in RNAcentral is "tRNA-Val". It matches the Rfam family "tRNA". Rfam says of the family: Transfer RNA (tRNA) molecules are approximately 80 nucleotides in length. The record is from RNAcentral. Lineage: Bacteria; Candidatus Moraniibacteriota.
GGAUGAUUAGCUCAGUUGGUUAGAGCACAGCAUUCACAUUGCUGGGGUCACUGGUUCGAAUCCAGUAUCAUCCA